Molecule: unclassified non-coding RNA, 343 nt
Filed under: soil metagenome
Description: partial contains 5.8S ribosomal RNA, internal transcribed spacer 2, and large subunit ribosomal RNA
Rfam family: 5.8S ribosomal RNA (bases 1-120)
Source: RNAcentral
GAUGAAGAACGUAGCGAAAUGCGAUAAGUAAUGUGAAUUGCAGAAUUCAGUGAAUCAUCGAAUCUUUGAACGCACAUUGCGCCCGCCAGCAUUCUGGCGGGCAUGCCUGUUCGAGCGUCAUUUCAACCCUCGACCUCCCUUUGGGGAAGUCGGCGUUGGGGACCGGCAGCACACCGCCGGCCCUGAAAUGGAGUGGCGGCCCGUCCGCGGCGACCUCCGCGUAGUAAUCCAACUCGCACCGGAACCCCGACGCGGCCACGCCGUAAAACACCCAACUUCUGAACGUUGACCUCGAAUCAGGUAGGACUACCCGCUGAACUUAAGCAUAUCAAUAAGCGGAGGA